Molecule: long non-coding RNA, 2645 nt
Filed under: Homo sapiens (human)
Lineage: Eukaryota; Metazoa; Chordata; Mammalia; Primates; Hominidae
Description: HSALNT0330804
Source: RNAcentral
UGUCAUUAAUAGUGCAUUGAUAUCAACAUUUUUAAUGGUUGUAUAUCGUCCAAUUGUAUGAGUGGCUAUAUGGGUCCCAAAUUGUUGGGUAGGCAUUUAUUUAUUUGCUAUUUAAUGAAAACACUAGGGUGAACUUCUGUGCAUGCACAUUUUGGGGACACUUGUCUAACUAUCUCCUUGGUACGGGGUCCUAGAAGGAGAACUUGCUGGUCACAGGUUAAAUGGGUCCUGAGUUGACCUACGGACAGAUUGUACCUGUGGACACUCCAUGCUGAUUUUCCAAGGGCACCUAAUCAAAAGCUUUAGAUGACUCCAGUUAUAUUUGGCAGGAGACAUCAGACGACUGCCCUCCACUAAAAUCUGGGCAGUCUAAAUGAACAUUUUGCAAAGGGGCAGGAGGGAAAAGAGGAAGCAGAAAAGAGGUGUCCACUUUUUUCUGAUCUCCCAUCUGCUGCUGGGACAAGCCAUGUGCUCUGAGCAGCUAGCUAAAACGAAACUUGACGAUCAUCUGGGGCUACUUUUAGGCCCACAAAACAAGGCUGACUUGGGGUAGAGUGCCGGUGUGAGUACUAGUGGCUUCUGGGGCUGAGUAACAGGGUGCUCCCUAUCUCAAAUCCAGUUUCCUCUGUCUGCAACCGAUGUAAGUAAAUUCAGAUGCACAAUGAGCGCUGUCUCAGGCUCCCCCAGCCAGGCCUGAUUCAAUGAGCAGGGCUCCAGCCUGGAGUCGGGGCGCUGAACAAAGCCCACGAUGACAGCAGAGGUCAGGCGGUGUCACCAAGGCCACUCAGCUGCUCUCCAUCAGCCUCCGGAGCAGGGGCCCAGGUCCUGUCAUCUGACUAAUGCAAUUUCCACCAGGCAUCUGGGCAGCACCCGAGGCUCUGGCAGUCACAAUGAGUCCAGUCUUUUCUGCCAAAUGAAGCUGGUCUGUAGGCCACCGAGCCUUUGCCCACUACCCUCCCAGGAUUGGCUGCUCUCUCUGGCGGCUCUGGAAGAUGAGCCCCAGUCACACUUUUGGAAAAUGGUUGAUGAUCAAAAUCAGAGGCAGGGGGAGCAAACAGGAGAGAGGUUUAGAGCUGUCAGCUUGAACCAUAGCUGGAAGCUGGAUGAGGGGGCAUGUGUUCCAGUAAUGCACUAACCUUGUUUGAGUAGACAACAUCCCAUAAUACACUGGGAGGAGUAGCAGUCGUACAAAGGUUCUGAUUUGCAAUACGGUGGGAUGAGGAGAGGAGAGCGAUAUUUAAGCAGAAAAAUCUGGCCAUGUUGCUGGGAGACCUCCCACACAGGCAAAAUCCUGCACUUGGGUGGGGCAGCGCUUUGGUUUCUGUUCACUAUUUUCUUGCUGUAAAUAUAACCAGCCUUGCUCCUACUUUACGGAGCCAGUUGAAACACAGCUUUCUUCCCAUCUCCCUGUCACUGCUUUCCUCCUGUCCCAAUUGAGCAAAACAGUAGAUUGUAGGGAAUUUAUCUGAUCCCCAUGACAAUCUGCUUGUAAAUUUUAUUAAUUUUAUUUUCCAUUGAGCUUCCCUUCUCCGGCUAACAAUACUGCUGCCAUCCAUCUGCAGGACUGUAUAUUGAUUUCAUAAAUACCUCCAGUGGGCUGACAAACUGACAGCUUCAAUGGUGUUACUGAUGGGGCGUGGAGGAGGGUUCAGGGCUGGGCGCUUCAUUUUCGGUAACAGUCCCUUCACAAUUAUCGCAGGGCCUUUGUGAGAGUUCCUAAUAGUGUGUUUAUCUCUACGUGGUGCCAGAGCAUGGAGCUAUCAUUAAGUACUAUCCUCGAGAGAGACAAGAGCCACCAUUUUCCACUGACACUUAAAUAAAAAUAACAAAAUCUAUCCACGAUGCCCAAGAGCCUAGCGCUGGCCAAUUUCCUGUUGGGGUUUUAGUGUCUCCCCUUUCACGAGGGAAGCAGCUCAGGGCUGAGGAGGGCAGACAUGCUCAGAAGUGACCUGAGAAGGGGAUUUUUGUUUUUCUAAACACUAGAAGAAAGGCAUGAGAUUGGAGUAGGGUGCAGGAGUGGGAGGUGUGCAGUAUUUUUCUGGAAAGCCACUCAGGAGCCCGGGGAGGCUGACCUAGAAGGGUAAGAGUCCAUGGAUGGUUACACCCUCCCCUGGGAGCCAGAGACGUGGCAGAAGAAAACCAAGCACUUUGUCCUUGGACUCCUUCAAGCUUGGAGGGGAGACUGGUUGCUGGGAUUAGGACAUUCCUGGUGUUCCAAAGAUUGCAAACUCAGAUGCUUCAGGGUUGUGCAGGUAAAGUAAAUGAGGAAGUCGGGCUGCAUGUGGACAACAGGAAUAGUCAGAAAGCGAGCUGGGGAUGUUAUUUCAACAAAAUCAAAACCAAAUAACUCUCUGUGCCAGCCAAUUGGAUGCUUCACCCUGGGAAGAACUUGGCCUGCAGGCUCAGAUUUGUGACCAGUGAGGAUGCAGAGACUGUCACCUCCUCAGGGGCGAUCUGCUAAUUCUAGAAUGGCGCUGUCCCACGGAAAUAUAUCACAAGCCAAGAAUGCAAUUUAAAAUUUUCUAUUAGCCAUAUUAAAAACAGUAAAAAGAAACAGUUGAAAUUAAUUUUAAUAUGAUAUUUAACUCAAUAUAUCCAAAAGAUUGCCAUUUCAAGAUGUAAUCAAUAUAAACAUUUAUUAAUGA